AUUGAACGCUGGCGGAAUGCUUUACACAUGCAAGUCGAACGGUAGAGGGGGCAACCCCUUGAGAGUGGCGAACGGGUGAGUAAUAUAUCGGAACGUGCCCAGUCGUGGGGGAUAACGUAGUGAAAAUUACGCUAAUACCGCAUACGAUCUAAGGAUGAAAGCGGGGGAUCGCAAGACCUCGCGCGACUGGAGCGGCCGAUAUCAGAUUAGGUAGUUGGUAGGGUAAAGGCCUACCAAGCCAACGAUCUGUAGCUGGUCUGAGAGGACGACCAGCCACACUGGAACUGAGACACGGUCCAGACUCCUACGGGAGGCAGCAGUGGGGAAUUUUGGACAAUGGGCGAAAGCCUGAUCCAGCCAUUCCGCGUGCAGGAUGAAGGCCCUCGGGUUGUAAACUGCUUUUGUACAGAACGAAAAGGUCUCUAUUAAUACUAGGGGCUCAUGACGGUACUGUAAGAAUAAGCACCGGCUAACUACGUGCCAGCAGCCGCGGUAAUACGUAGGGUGCAAGCGUUAAUCGGAAUUACUGGGCGUAAAGCGUGCGCAGGCGGUUAUAUAAGUCAGAUGUGAAAUCCCCGGGCUCAACCUGGGAACUGCAUUUGAGACUGUAUAGCUAGAGUACGGUAGAGGGGGAUGGAAUUCCGCGUGUAGCAGUGAAAUGCGUAGAUAUGCGGAGGAACACCGAUGGCGAAGG
Molecule: ribosomal RNA, 694 nt
Filed under: Pseudomonadota bacterium
Lineage: Bacteria; Pseudomonadati; Pseudomonadota
Description: bacterial SSU rRNA
Rfam family: Bacterial small subunit ribosomal RNA
Source: RNAcentral